CAAUAGCGUAUAUUAAAGCUGUUGCGGUUAAAAAGCUCGUAGUUGGAUUUCUGUCAAGGACAACUGGUCCGCCCCUCGGGUGAGCACAUAGUUUGGUCUUGGCAUCUUGUUGGAAACUGUUGCUGCACUUGGUUGUGUGGCGCAGUGUCCAGCACUUUCACUUUGAGGAAAUUGGAGUGGUUCAAGCAGGCACAUGCCUUUGGACACAGUAGCAUGGAAUAAUUAGAUUGGGCUUUUGCUCCAACUUGUCGGUUUCUGGAGCUGAGGUGAGAAUUAAUGGGGAUUGUUGGGGGCAUCCGAAUUUAGCCGUCAGAGGUGAAAUUCUUGGAUCUGCUAAAGACGGACAACUGCGAAAGCGUUUGCCCAGGAUGUUUUCAUUGA
This 381-nucleotide ribosomal RNA is filed under the name uncultured eukaryote. RNAcentral describes it as "partial 18S ribosomal RNA". It matches the Rfam family "Eukaryotic small subunit ribosomal RNA", at positions 592 to 976 of the family's 1831-position model. The record is from RNAcentral.